Molecule: signal recognition particle RNA, 295 nt
Filed under: Vombatus ursinus (common wombat)
Lineage: Eukaryota; Metazoa; Chordata; Mammalia; Diprotodontia; Vombatidae
Description: Metazoan signal recognition particle RNA (ENSVURG00010008956.1)
Rfam family: Metazoan signal recognition particle RNA
About the family: The signal recognition particle (SRP) is a universally conserved ribonucleoprotein. It is involved in the co-translational targeting of proteins to membranes. The eukaryotic SRP consists of a 300-nucleotide 7S RNA and six proteins: SRPs 72, 68, 54, 19, 14, and 9.
Source: Rfam by way of RNAcentral
ACUGGCUCUGCCCAUAAUCCUUGUCCCUGGGGAUGUUGAGAUUGGUGGAUCACUUGAAUUCAGAAGUUCUGAGCUGCAAUGAGGCUUAAGUCAAUCAGGUGUUCUCACUAAGUCUGGCACCAAUAUAGUGAACUCCUGGGAGUGGGAAGCCCCCAAGCCUGCUCAAAGAGGGACAGACUGGACUAGGCCAGAAACAGAGCAGGUCAAAUCUCCCAUGCAGAUCAGUAGUUGGGAUCAGGACUGUGAGUGGUCACUAUACUUGUGGUCUGGAUGAGACAGGGAGACCCAGUCUUAG